CUUGAGGCGUGGCUUCCGGAGCUAACGCGUUAAAUCGACCGCCUGGGGAGUACGGCCGCAAGGUUAAAACUCAAAUGAAUUGACGGGGGCCCGCACAAGCGGUGGAGCAUGUGGUUUAAUUCGAUGCAACGCGAAGAACCUUACCUGGUCUUGACAUCCACAGAACUUAGCAGAGAUGCUUUGGUGCCUUCGGGAACUGUGAGACAGGUGCUGCAUGGCUGUCGUCAGCUCGUGUUGUGAAAUGUUGGGUUAAGUCCCGCAACGAGCGCAACCCUUAUCCUUUGUUGCCAGCGGUCCGGCCGGGAACUCAAAGGAGACUGCCAGUGAUAAACUGGAGGAAGGUGGGGAUGACGUCAAGUCAUCAUGGCCCUUACGACCAGGGCUACACACGUGCUACAAUGGCAUAUACAAAGAGAAGCGACCUCGCGAGAGCAAGCGGACCUCAUAAAGUAUGUCGUAGUCCGGAUUGGAGUCUGCAACUCGACUCCAUGAAGUCGGAAUCGCUAGUAAUCGUAGAUCAGAAUGCUACGGUGAAUACGUUCCCGGGCCUUGUACACACCGCCCGUCACACCAUGGGAGUGGGUUGCAAAAGAAGUAGGUAGCUUAACCUUCGGGAGGGCGCUUACCACUUUGUGAUUCAUGACUGGGGUGAAGUCGUAACAAGGUAACCGUAGGGGAACCUGCGGUUGGAUCACCUCCUU
Molecule: ribosomal RNA, 701 nt
Filed under: Klebsiella pneumoniae
Lineage: Bacteria; Pseudomonadati; Pseudomonadota; Gammaproteobacteria; Enterobacterales; Enterobacteriaceae
Description: bacterial SSU rRNA
Rfam family: Bacterial small subunit ribosomal RNA
Source: RNAcentral